Long non-coding RNA from Pygocentrus nattereri (red-bellied piranha), 449 nucleotides. RefSeq lists it as uncharacterized. The record is from RefSeq and is a predicted model, not a curated record. Lineage: Eukaryota; Metazoa; Chordata; Actinopteri; Characiformes; Serrasalmidae. The transcript is spliced from 3 exons.
UUACGAGCUCAGGCAUUCUGCAUUAGGAGCGUUAGUAGAAGUCCGAAACAGAAGAUUGAUUACCUCUAGAAGUUUCACUACCAACAAUAAUGGGAUUCGAACCCAUGCUUGCAGAGCAGAACGGAUCAGCGGUCGAUUGCCUUAAACACUCAGCCGCCUCAUCUGUUGGACAUUGUUCUGGAAGUAGUACUGGUGUCAUCUGAUGAUCUGACAGCUUCUGGUUAUCGAUGGGAAAACCAGCAACAGGAAAACCAGUUAUAGACUCUCAAAAGCUUCCGUUGUCGACAAGGAUGGGAUUCGAACCCACGCGUGCAGAGCACAAUGGAUUAGCAGUCCAUCGCCUUAACCACUCGGCCACCUUGUCCUCUUGUGCUACCACCUUGUAUAGACUGUAAGAUCUAGGCUAUUUUACAUGCCCUAUUCUUGCAAAAGUUUCCCCGUGGAACCAA